UAUUGACGCCUUACCAUUGAUACAAAAAAUCAAAGGUUUGUAAAAAUUGUAAAACAAUCAAUGUAACUCAUUUUUAAAUAAACUCGUUUCACUGAAAACGUAAUUUUUUUUAACUCACUUGUAAGUUCCUAAAUGUCAUUUAAGAAUCAAAAUAGUAAUCUAUACUAUGCAUUCUAAAAGACCAAGAACAAUUAACUUUUAUCAUUUCAACUUGUCUAUUAGUGCUGGUGGGGGUCCAUAGGGGUCCCCACUAUACAUGGACCAAACAUUCAUUCUAUUAAUCAAACGAUCGUCCCCAUACCUCGUUUGAUAAUGGAUGUUAAACAUACAACCGCCUUAAUACCCUGUUAGGUAUAAGCAUAAUCAAAUAAUUCUCAACCCCUUCCAGUAG
RNAcentral lists this long non-coding RNA (391 nucleotides) under Carica papaya (papaya). Its description in RNAcentral is "long non-coding RNA (CPAP_LNC009149)". The record is from RNAcentral. Lineage: Eukaryota; Viridiplantae; Streptophyta; Magnoliopsida; Brassicales; Caricaceae.